This 3766-nucleotide long non-coding RNA is filed under the name Homo sapiens (human). RNAcentral's name for it is "HSALNT0355743". Lineage: Eukaryota; Metazoa; Chordata; Mammalia; Primates; Hominidae. The record is from RNAcentral.
UUGAUAAUUCCUAUGCAUUGCUAUCCAGUGCUUACACAUAGACGGUGCAUUCUCUGGAAUUCACCCUGGGUCAGAGCCUUCUCACCUCCCAGCACAAGCCAGUAGCUUAAGCCUCAGUGUCCCAGCUUCGGUGCACUGGGCAGGAGAUGGGUCUCCCAAGACCACUCAGCCAUGUGGUUCCUUCAGCUCUCAGCACAGCCGAGUCCAGGCUGCAGGCUCUCCAUCACAAGCCAACUACAGAGUGACACAUGUUCUCUACACAUGCCGUGACUGAAUAUGUUGUGUUCUGAAAAUAUUUGGGAGUUAAUUUGUGUUUUGUGCCUAGUGCUUCAUGGACCGGUGCUCAUUGCAUCCUUACAGCCAUCUACAAGGGUGUCACCAUUAUUUGUAUUUUAUUAGACUUAGAGAGGUGAAGUGACUUGCUCAAAAUAAUACGGUUAGCAAAUGACUGAACCCCGACCCAACAGGGAGAAUGUGGGAAGAAAUCAACAAAGCUUAUUUAACAGGUAUCUGCCAAGGGUUGGAAAAAAUAAGAUUUAUUGUUGCUCCACUGAGCAGAACACAGCCCAUCAGAGGUUACUGCACCUUCAACGACAUGUGCUUUUGACUGACCCAUCAAAACACUGGUGGCAAGAGCACUAAAUAAGUUGCCUAUCAUACUUAAUCUUUCCAGGAUUCAAAGAGGAGUGUAGAGUGAAAUGACCUAUAAGACCCCUGAGCCUAAAAUAUAAUCUAAUGGACUCAGCUUUAAAGCGCUCAUUGAGAGGAUGGCCAAAAACCAGCCGCCACAGUGCGAAGCACGAUUCCUCCACCAUCCGCAGUCCACUCGCACAAAUACCCUCAGUGAAACACUUCUUUCUCUCCACCCACUUUUGAGUAGGAUGAAAUGGCACAUUCCAUUUUCAAAGUGGGCAGCUUGCACGUAUCAGCAGUGCCAGGAAUUUGGAAAACGAUAACGUGGAACCCACAGUAACUUGCUGGCUGAAUUUACUCACCCAGGUGACCCAGGUCGAUGAGGGCUUCAGAGCCACGGGGAUUUUAAAUGCCGCUUCAAAGCCAACAAGGAGCAGAACCAGUGCUGAUUCGUGUUUAUGAUAAUGACAUUUGAAAGGCUAAAAAUUACAAAGUUGUUUACAGAGAUGGACUUAGAAAAUAAUUGUAUCUAAUGUCUCAUAAACAUAAAAGAAAGUUAUUUUGUAGUAGAUGAUUGAAAAGAAAAAAUCUCCUUUAAAAAGGAAAUAAAUAUACUAGUUUCAGACAGAAACAACUUCAAAGGCAAUCAGAAAAUUCAGUGGAAUUUUAAAGAGGGAAUCUCACUCAAAGAAUUCUCUAAAAUUGCCUAAACUUAAAAGCAUUAUUUUUCUCGAGACAUUUAAUUUAGAUUGCAUACCAAACCCUGUAAUAAACCUCCUGCAAAGAAAUAAUAAUAGACCAUAGGCAUUAUAUAUGUUCACUGUUCACUGCGUGUAAAUACAAUGAUUGACCUUCCAUCAACAGACAAGAGGCAUAACUCCAUGGCAACAGAGAAAUAGAGGUCACAAUCAUAUUUUCCAAGGCAAUUUUUGGCCCUCGGGGGAUUCACUGUUAUACUUGGAGGCCAUGUCACCUGAGAGUCAAUGGGCAACGAUCAAAUUUCACCUUGAGCAGAUUCUUUUGUUUGCUUUUUAGUCACAAAUAGCUUGGCCCUAAGUGGUGGCUCCCAUUCUUGUAAGAUGCGUUUAUUCAUCGUGUAAUCACCAGUUCCCUGUAGUGGGGGCGUGGAUGGAGUGUCAGAGGCUCCUGCUGGUCUUUAGGGUGUCUGGCCUCCAGGAAUCCUAGAGGUAGUAUUUGGAGAGAUUUUUAAAAGCUUUGUUUCUGUGACCAGCAAAACCUGGAUUUGACACUGAGGUCAGCCCGUUUCAGCCAGUGACGUAACCUGUCUUUUUGCCCCAGUAAAUUGGGAACUACAGCACUCGAUGUUAGAGUUGUCGUGAAGAUUAAAGAAGGUGACGACUGGACAACUCCCAGCCCAAUACCUGAAACUGUACCAGCACCCAGUGAGCACUGCUAUUCCUGUGACUGCUGCACAUUUGCCUUAUCUCAGCAGUAUGCCUGUGUCACUUUUUUGGCACUCUUUUCUCAUGGGUACAUUCAGAGAAGAGGAAUGUUUGUUCACUGGUGAAGAGAACAUCCCGUGUACUAUCGUGUAGAAGUUGUAGUAGACGCUGUGGUCUUUCCAACAACAAACAAACUGCUGGGACAGGACCCAGGAGGUUCCGGAGGAUCAGGAGGUCCACCUGGGAGAAGAGCUGAUCGGCUAGUAGGAGAGCUGGAAAAGCAACAGACACCUACUUAGUCCCUUCCCUGGGGCCCGGCUCCAGUCUGAGCUGUCACGCCACAGCAAAGGCAUCACUUCAGGACAGCAAAGCCCCUGUCUCCCUCCCUUCCAGCUCCUCAGACUUCACCCUGGUAACACGUUUGUUUAAAAAACAUAUUUUUCCCCCUUGUAAAGAAUCUAGGAUACAAGGGGUCAGCCCAGCAGUUUAGGUAUCAAGAAGAAACUGCUCUCGGAGCUAAAGUAAGAAACAGUGCCUGUCUAUAGCGCAAAUAAAGAGUUGGAACAAGAUAAAAGGCAGUGAUCCUUCACCAGCCAAUCUCCAGGUGGAUCUCAGGAAUCCUGUGUGAUGUGUGACAUCAUCUGGGAAAGCCCCGCAGUUGCCAUGGAGACGCACCUCCCAGGCCUCGGGAAGCUGCCCCACCUCUCUGCCACCUUCUUCCAGACUGGUCAUGGCAGGCUGGCUCUGAUCUGGGUCCCAGACAGAGGGGAAUUGGUUUGCCUUUUUUCUUUUCUUUUCUUCUUUUUUUUCUUUUCUUUUCUUUGUAAACUGCAAUGACCGUGUGUGUGUGUGUGUUUGUGUGUGUGUGUCUGUGUAUGCAUAUAUAUAAAGAAAGAGAGAGAAAAAAAAACAGAGUGCCCCACGACGCAAGGUGCCCACCUUGACAAAUACACUGUGGGCAGACAAUAAACCCUUAUGAGGUUCUGGAGUGGCAGCAGCAAUGGCCUCCUGCCCUCCUGGCGGGCUGGAGCCUCCUCCUGGCAGGUGGGGUAGGGUUGAAACAUCAGAAAUGCCGAGAAAUGUCUCGGUGCAGCCUGAUUACAGAGACACUUGUGAUCCAUGAUUUCUGCUGCUCCACUGCUGAAAAAAAGAAAAAGGCCUGGAGUGCCUCAUCCGCUGUGGUUUCUCUCCCAUUUAAGUAAAAUUGGAAACUUUUUUAAAAAGAAAGCACAAUCAUGUAAUUAGUGCAGGCUCUCUUUUCUGGUUUUUUGAAAAGAGGCAUUUUCACACACACCUUAGUCCAUCUUAAACCCUUUCAACGUUCUGCAUGCUCUUCCUAAUUCCAGAGAGACAGAAUUUUUAUUUCCUUCGAUCGCAGGGAUACCUACAAUGGAAUUUACGUCUCAAUUAACAGUUUGACCAAGGGUUUACAAGUGGUUGAAUGGAGUACAAAUGAAGAAUUCGAAGAAACGCAAAGAGAGAAAGUGGACCGCCCAUAGACACCUGCUCUAUGCAAACAAUGGACUCCUUCCCUUUAUCUUAAGGGGUCUUACGCUACCUGUUUCUACGUCCUUUGCUGGUUCCCAUGACAGAAAUACACACGUUUCAGACAAGAUUAAAAUACAAAAUCCCAACCAUAGCCUCAUCUUUGCACACACACUCUCUCAUUUCCUGUUGGUACCAGCACUUUUCUAUUUCGGUCCUGGGUAUGGCUCACUAACCUACAGCAG